ACAUCCCGGAGACCCUUAGGAAACUAGGGGUGCUUCCAUCUGGAAGAAUCUGGAGACAGGUGCUGCAUGGCUGUCGUCAGCUCGUGUCGUGAGAUGUUGGGUUAAGUCCCGCAACGAGCGCAACCCUUGCCUUUAGUUGCCAGCAGUUCGGCUGGGCACUCUAAAGGGACUGCCGGUGUUAAACCGGAGGAAGGUGGGGAUGACGUCAAGUCCUCAUGGCCUUUAUGACCAGGGCUACACACGUACUACAAUGGCCGAUACAAAGGGCAGCGACACUGCGAGGUGAAGCCAAUCCCGUAAAAUCGGUCUCAGUCCGGAUUGGAGUCUGCAACUCGACUCCAUGAAGUUGGAGUCGCUAGUAAUCGUGGAUCAGCAUGCCACGGUGAAUACGUUCCCGGGCCUU
Molecule: ribosomal RNA, 403 nt
Filed under: uncultured Desulfobulbus sp.
Lineage: Bacteria; Pseudomonadati; Thermodesulfobacteriota; Desulfobulbia; Desulfobulbales; Desulfobulbaceae
Description: bacterial SSU rRNA
Rfam family: Bacterial small subunit ribosomal RNA
Source: RNAcentral